CAAUAGCGUAUAUUAAAGUUGUUGCAGUUAAAAAGCUCGUAGUUGGAUUUCUGGUUGAAGCGACCGGUCGGGCGUUGAUUCGUCUGCACUGGAGUCGGUUUUGGCCAUCCUCUAGGAAAGUGCGUCUGGUAUUAAGUUAUCGGGCGUAUGAUCCCGGUCUUUUACUGUGAAAAAAUUAGAGUGUUUAAAGCAGGCCUUCGCCUUGAAUACAUUAGCAUGGAAUAAUAAGAUAGGACUUUGGUCUAUUUUGUUGGUUUGCAGACCGAAGUAAUGAUUAAUAGGGAUAGUUGGGGGUAUUUAUAUUCCGAUGUCAGAGGUGAAAUUCUUAGAUUUUCGGAAGAUAAACUUAUGCGAAAGCAUUUACCAAGGAUGUUUUCAUUAA
This 382-nucleotide ribosomal RNA is filed under the name uncultured eukaryote. RNAcentral's name for it is "partial 18S ribosomal RNA". It matches the Rfam family "Eukaryotic small subunit ribosomal RNA", at positions 592 to 976 of the family's 1831-position model. The record is from RNAcentral.